UACGUAGGGUGCGAGCGUUGCCCGGAUUUAUUGGGCGUAAAGGGCGCGUAGGCGGCCACGCACGUCCGUUGUGAAAUCGCCCGGCUCAACUGGGCGGGGUCGGCGGAUACGGCGUGGCUGGAGCAAGCUAGGGGGCAAUGGAAUUCCCGGUGUAGUGGUGGAAUGCGUAGAUAUCGGGAGGAACACCAGUGGCGAAGGCGGUUGCCUGGAGCUUUGCUGACGCUGAGGCGCGAAAGCGUGGGGAGCGAACGAGG
RNAcentral lists this ribosomal RNA (254 nucleotides) under uncultured bacterium. RNAcentral describes it as "partial 16S ribosomal RNA". It matches the Rfam family "Bacterial small subunit ribosomal RNA", at positions 524 to 777 of the family's 1533-position model. The record is from RNAcentral.